Molecule: ribosomal RNA, 299 nt
Filed under: uncultured bacterium
Lineage: Bacteria
Description: partial 16S ribosomal RNA
Rfam family: Bacterial small subunit ribosomal RNA
Source: RNAcentral
GAUGAACGCUGGCGGCGUGCUUAACACAUGCAAGUCGAACGAAGCACUUAAGAUUGAUUCUUCGGAUGACGUCUUUUGUGACCUAGUGGCGGACGGGUGAGUAACGCGUGGGUAACCUGCCUUACACAGGGGGAUAACAGUUAGAAAUGACUGCUAAUACCGCAUAACCCGAUAGGAUCGCAUGAUCCAGACGGAAAAAGAUUUUAUCGGUGUGAGAUGGACCCGCGUCUGAUUAGCUAGUUGGUGAGGUAACGGCCCACCAAGGCGACGAUCAGUAGCCGGCCUGAGAGGGUGAACGG